This 253-nucleotide ribosomal RNA is filed under the name uncultured bacterium. RNAcentral describes it as "partial 16S ribosomal RNA". It matches the Rfam family "Bacterial small subunit ribosomal RNA", at positions 524 to 776 of the family's 1533-position model. The record is from RNAcentral.
UACGUAGGUGACAAGCGUUGUCCGGAUUUACUGGGCGUAAAGAGCGCGCAGGCGGUCGUUCAAGUCGAGUGUGAAAGCCCCCGGCUCAACUGGGGAGGGUCAUUCGAUACUGAUCGACUCGAAGGCAGGAGAGGGGAGUGGAAUUCCCGGUGUAGUGGUGAAAUGCGUAGAUAUCGGGAGGAACACCAGUGGCGAAGGCGACUUCCUGGCCUGUUCUUGACGCUGAGGCGCGAAAGCUAGGGGAGCAAACGGG